Molecule: long non-coding RNA, 903 nt
Organism: Sinocyclocheilus anshuiensis
Lineage: Eukaryota; Metazoa; Chordata; Actinopteri; Cypriniformes; Cyprinidae
Exons: 4
Source: RefSeq, a predicted model, not a curated record
UAGAGAGGCAGAUUAAGGAGGAGUUUGAGAAACUUCACCAGAGAGUCAAUAAGGAUAACUAAACUGUGGAAGGAAGAACAGCAGAAGAGUCAGACAGUGAAUGAGAAUAUUGAGAAAAUUAACACAGAGAUUUCCUCUCUUUCAGACACUAUCAGAGCCAUAGAGGAGGAGAUUCAAACUAAAGAUGCUUUAUUCCUACAGAACUAUGAUGCCACUUUGAAAAGUUUCCCAGUGUAAACCGCCGGAUCCGGAGAACAUUUCUGGAGUUCUGAUCAGUGUGCCAAAACACCUGAGCAACCUGAUGUUUACUGUGUUACAGAAGAUGCAGAAAACUGUUGAUUACACUUCUGUGACCUUUGACCCCAACACUGCUCAUUGUAAUCUCAUCCUGUCUGAUGACCUGACCAGUGUGAGGUACAGCGAUGAGGAACAGACACUUCCUGAUAAUCCAGAGCGAUUCGAUAUGUUUGCGUGUUCUGGGCUCGGUGGGUUUUGACUCUGGCUCUCACUGCUGGGACGUUGAAGUUGGAGACAGUACAGGCUGGUUCCUCAGAGUGAUGGCUGAAUCUGCUCAGAGGAGGAAUAAAAUAUUCUCAAGGAGUGGAAUCUGGCUGGUGGGUCAUUUCUGUGGUGAAUAUAAAGCACACGAACCACCACAAUCACCAGCUCUCCUCCCAGUGAAAGAGAAACUGCAGAGGAUCAGAGUUCAGCUGGACUGGGACAGUGGAAAGCUGUUGUUCUCUGACCCUCUUACUGACACACACAUACACUCCUUUACACACACUUUCACUGAAAGAUUAUUUCCAUUUUUUGGUGUUGGCUGUAACAUUUCUCCUCUGCACAUCUAACCUGUAAAUUCCUCAGUAAAAAAAACUCACUGUAGAUCAAAUUAUUAAACUUAAC